This 383-nucleotide ribosomal RNA is filed under the name uncultured bacterium. Its description in RNAcentral is "bacterial SSU rRNA". It matches the Rfam family "Bacterial small subunit ribosomal RNA", at positions 28 to 411 of the family's 1533-position model. The record is from RNAcentral.
GACGAACGCUGGCGGCGUGCUUAACACAUGCAAGUCGAGCGGUAAGGUCCUUUCGGGGGUACACGAGCGGCGAACGGGUGAGUAACACGUGGGUGACCUGCCCUCAGCUCUGGGAUAAGCCUGGGAAACCGGGUCUAAUACCGGAUAUGACUCCAUGACGCAUGUUGUGGGGUGGAAAGCCUUGUGCGGCUGAGGAUGGGCCCGCGGCCUAUCAGCUUGUUGGUGGGGUGAUGGCCUACCAAGGCGACGACGGGUAGCCGGCCUGAGAGGGCGACCGGCCACACUGGGACUGAGACACGGCCCAGACUCCUACGGGAGGGCAGCAGUGGGGAAUCUUGCGCAAUGGGCGAAAGCCUGACGCAGCGACGCCGCGUGAGGGAUGA